GACGAACGCUGGCGGCGUGCUUAACACAUGCAAGUCGAACGGAAAGGCCCCUUUUGGGGUACUCGAGUGGCGAACGGGUGAGUAACACGUUAGUAACCUGCCCUUGACUUCGGGAUAACUUCAGGAAACUGGGGCUAAUACCGGAUAGGAAUCCUUGCUGCAUGGUGGGGGUUGGAAAGCUUCGGCGGUUUUGGAUGGACUCGCGGCUUAUCAGCUUGUUGGUGGGGUAGUGGCUUACCAAGGCUUUGACGGGUAGCCGGCCUGAGAGGGCGACCGGCCACAUUGGGACUGAGAUACGGCCCAGACUCCUACGGGAGGCAGCAGUGGGGAAUAUUGCACAAUGGGCGGAAGCCUGAUGCAGCAACGCCGCGUGCGGGAUGACGGCCUUCGGGUUGUAAACCGCUUUCAGCAGGGGCGAAGCUUGUGGUGACGGUACCUGCAGAAGAAGCACCGGCUAACUACGUG
Molecule: ribosomal RNA, 465 nt
Filed under: uncultured bacterium
Lineage: Bacteria
Description: partial 16S ribosomal RNA
Rfam family: Bacterial small subunit ribosomal RNA
Source: RNAcentral